RNAcentral lists this ribosomal RNA (369 nucleotides) under uncultured bacterium. RNAcentral describes it as "bacterial SSU rRNA". It matches the Rfam family "Bacterial small subunit ribosomal RNA", at positions 438 to 793 of the family's 1533-position model. The record is from RNAcentral.
AGUAGGGAGGAAGGUAGUGUAGUUAACACCUGCAUAUUUGUACGUUACCUACAGAAGAAGCACCGGCUAACUACCGUGCCAGCAGCCGCGGUAAUACGGAGGGUGCGAGCGUUAAUCGGAAUUACUGGGCGUAAAGCGCAUGCAGGCGGCCUGUUAAGUCAGAUGUGAAAGACCCGGGGCGUUAACCUCGGAAUUGCAUUUGAAACUGGCAGGCUAGAGUCUUGUAGAGGGGGGUAGGAAUUUCAGGUGUAGCGGUGAAAUGCGUAGAGAUCUGAAGGAAUACCAGUGGCGAAGGCGGCCCCCCUCGGACAAAGACUGACGCUCAGAUGCGAAAGCGUGGGGAGCAAACAGGAUUAGAUACCCUGGUAG